This 77-nucleotide transfer RNA is filed under the name Pseudomonadota bacterium. Its description in RNAcentral is "Proteobacteria bacterium (cold seep metagenome) tRNA-Arg". It matches the Rfam family "tRNA". From Rfam's summary of the family: Transfer RNA (tRNA) molecules are approximately 80 nucleotides in length. RNAcentral also lists the same sequence under 1 other name. The record is from RNAcentral. Lineage: Bacteria; Pseudomonadati; Pseudomonadota.
GUGCCCGUAGCUCAACUGGAUAGAGCGUCUGACUACGAAUCAGGAGGUUGGGGGUUCGAAUCCCUCCGGGCGCACCA